AACGAACGCUGGCGGCAGGCUUAACACAUGCAAGUCGAACGCAUCCUUCGGGGUGAGUGGCAGACGGGUGAGUAACGCGUGGGAAUCUACCUCUUGCUACGGGAUAGCUCCGGGAAACUGGAAUUAAUACCGUAUGUGCCCUUCGGGGGAAAGAUUUAUCGGCAAGGGAUGAGCCCGGGUUGGAUUAGCUAGUUGGUGGGGUAAAGGCCUACCAAGGCGACGAUCCAUAGCUGAUCUGAGAGGAUGAUCAGCCACAUUGGGACUGAGACACGGCCCAAACUCCUACGGGAGGCAGCAGUGGGGAAUAUUGGACAAUGGGCGCAAGCCUGAUCCAGCCAUGCCGCGUGAGUGAUGAAGGUCUUAGGAUUGUAAAGCUCUUUCACCGGGGACGAUAAUGACGGUACCCGGAGAAGAGGCCCCGGCUAACUUCGUGCCAGCAGCCGCCGUAA
RNAcentral lists this ribosomal RNA (449 nucleotides) under uncultured bacterium. RNAcentral describes it as "partial 16S ribosomal RNA". It matches the Rfam family "Bacterial small subunit ribosomal RNA", at positions 29 to 523 of the family's 1533-position model. The record is from RNAcentral.